AGUGAACGCUGGCGGUAGGCCUAACACAUGCAAGUCGCACGGCAGCACAGGAGAGCUUGCUCUCUGGGUGGCGAGUGGCGGAAGGGUGAGGAAUACAUCGGAAUCUACUUUUUCGUGGGGGAUAACGUAGGGAAACUUACGCUAAUACCGCAUACGACCUACGGGUGAAAGCAAGGGAUCAUCGGACCUUGCGCGAUUGAAUGAGCCGAUGUCGGAUUAGCUAGUUGGCGGGGUAAGGGCCCACCAAGGCGACGAUCCGUAGCUGGUCUGAGAGGAUGAUCAGCCACACUGGAACUGAGACACGGUCCAGACUCCUACGGGAGGCAGCAGUGGGGAAUAUUGGACAAUGGGCGCAAGCCUGAUCCAGCCAUACCGCGUGGGUGAAGAAGGCCUUCGGGUUGUAAAGCCCUUUUGUUGGGAAAGAAAUCCAGCUGGUUAAUACCCGGUUGGGAUGACGGUACCCAAAGAAUAAGCACCGGCUAACUUCGUGCCAGCCGCCGCCGUAA
Molecule: ribosomal RNA, 506 nt
Filed under: uncultured bacterium
Lineage: Bacteria
Description: partial 16S ribosomal RNA
Rfam family: Bacterial small subunit ribosomal RNA
Source: RNAcentral